This 253-nucleotide ribosomal RNA is filed under the name uncultured bacterium. RNAcentral describes it as "partial 16S ribosomal RNA". It matches the Rfam family "Bacterial small subunit ribosomal RNA", at positions 524 to 776 of the family's 1533-position model. The record is from RNAcentral.
UACGUAGGGUGCAAGCGUUGUCUGGAAUUAUUGGGCGUAAAGAGCUCGUAGGCGGUUCGUCGCGUCGGCUGUGAAAACCCGGAGCUCAACUCCGGGCCUGCAGUCGAUACGGGCGGACUUGAGUGUUGCAGGGGAGACUGGAAUUCAUGGUGUAGCAGUGAAAUGCGUAGAGAUCAUGAGGAAGACCAGUGGCGAAGGCGGGUCUCUGGACAGUUCCUGACACUGAGGCACGAAGGCCAGGGGAGCAAACGGG